UUAAGUUAUUAAGGGCGCAUGGUGGAUGCCUUGGCACUAGGAGCCGAUGAAGGACGUGACUAACUGCGAUAAGCUUCGGGGAGUUGUAAGUAAACUGUGAUCCGGAGAUUUCCGAAUGGGGAAACCCAGCAGGAGUAAAGACCUGUUAUCACUGAGUGAAUACAUAGCUCAGUUGAAGGUAGACGUGGGGAACUGAAACAUCUAAGUACCCAUAGGAAGAGAAAGAAAAUUCGAUUCCCUGAGUAGCGGCGAGCGAAAAGGGAACAGCCCAAACCAGAGAGCUUGCUCUCUGGGGUUGUAGGACUGGACAUUUGAGUUACCAAGAAACGAAGUAGUUGAAUGAUUUGGGAAGAUCAGCCAGAGAAGGUGAUAGCCCUGUAAGCGAAACUUCGUUUCCUCAGCCCAGUAUCCUGAGUACGGCGGAACACGUGAAACUCCGUCGGAAUCCGGGAGGACCAUCUCCCAAGGCUAAAUACUCCCUAGUGACCGAUAGUGAACCAGUACCGUGAGGGAAAGGUGAAAAGCACCCCGGGAGGGGAGUGAAAUAGUUCCUGAAACCAUGUGCCUACAAGUAGUCAGAGCCCGUUAAUGGGUGAUGGCGUGCCUUUUGUAGAAUGAACCGGCGAGUUACGUUAGCGUGCGAGGUUAAGGCGCAAAGGCCGGAGCCGUAGCGAAAGCGAGUCUGAAUAGGGCGAAUGAGUACGUUGACGUAGACCCGAAACCAGGUGACCUACCCAUGUCCAGGUUGAAGGUGCGGUAAGACGCACUGGAGGACCGAACCCGUGUAUGUUGAAAAAUGCUGGGAUGAGGUGUGGGUAGAGGUGAAAUUCCAAACGAACUUGGAGAUAGCUGGUUCUCUCCGAAAUAGCUUUAGGGCUAGCCUCGGAGUUAAGGAUCGUGGAGGUAGAGCACUGUUUGGACUAGGGGCCCGUCUUGGGUUACUGAAUUCAGAUAAACUCCGAAUGCCACAGAUCUAUAUCCGGGAGUCAGACUGCGAGUGAUAAGAUCCGUAGUCGAAAGGGAAACAGCCCAGACCACCGAUUAAGGUCCCUAAAUAUGUGUUAAGUGGAAAAGGAUGUGGAAUUGCACAGACAACUAGGAUGUUGGCUUAGAAGCAGCCACCAUUUAAAGAGUGCGUAAUAGCUCACUAGUCGAGUGAUCCUGCGCCGAAAAUGUAACGGGGCUAAACACAUUACCGAAAUCGUGGAUGCAACUAUGUUGCAUGGUAGGAGAGCGUUCUAAGGGCGAUGAAGCUAGACCGUAAGGACUGGUGGAGCGCUUAGAAGUGAGAAUGCCGGUAUGAGUAGCGAAAGAUCAGUGAGAAUCUGGUCCACCGUAUGACUAAGGUUUCCUGGGGAAGGCUCGUCCUCCCAGGGUUAGUCGGGACCUAAGCCGAGGCCGAGAGGCGUAGGCGAUGGAUAACAGGUUGAGAUUCCUGUACUGGUUUGAUUUGUUUGAACGAUGGAGGGACGCAGGAGGCUAGAGAUGCGUGCUGUUGGAUAUGCACGUCCAAGCAACAAGUCUGAUGAUGAGUCAAAUGCUUAUCGUCUUAAGGACAAGUUGUGACGGGGAGCGAAAUUAAAGUAGCGAAGUGAUCGAUGUCACACUGCCGAGAAAAGCUUCUAGUUAGGAUCAGACCACCCGUACCGCAAACCGACACAGGUAGUCGAGGCGAGUAGCCUAAGGUGAGCGAGAGAACUCUCGUUAAGGAACUCGGCAAAAUGACCCCGUAACUUCGGGAGAAGGGGUGCUGCACAAUGUGCAGCCGCAGUGAAUAGGCCCAGGCGACUGUUUAUCAAAAACACAGGUUUCUGCAAAAUCGUAAGAUGAAGUAUAGGGGCUGACGCCUGCCCGGUGCUGGAAGGUUAAGAGGAUGGGUUAGCGUAAGCGAAGCUCAGAAUUGAAGCCCCAGUAAACGGCGGCCGUAACUAUAACGGUCCUAAGGUAGCGAAAUUCCUUGUCGGGUAAGUUCCGACCCGCACGAAAGGCGUAACGAUCUGGGCACUGUCUCAACGAGAGACUCGGUGAAAUUAUAAUACCCGUGAAGAUGCGGGUUACCCGCGACAGGACGGAAAGACCCCAUGGAGCUUUACUGUAGCUUGAUAUUGGGUGUUUGUACAACUUGUACAGGAUAGGUAGGAGCCGUAGAAGUCGGAACGCUAGUUUCGAUCGAGGCGCUGGUGGGAUACUACCCUCGUUGUAUGAACACUCUAACCCUCGUCGCUUAUCGCGGCGGGAGACAGUGUCAGGUGGGCAGUUUGACUGGGGCGGUCGCCUCCUAAAAGGUAACGGAGGCGCCCAAAGGUUCCCUCAGAAUGGUUGGAAAUCAUUCGCAGAGUGUAAAGGCAUAAGGGAGCUUGACUGCGAGACCUACAAGUCGAGCAGGGACGAAAGUCGGGCUUAGUGAUCCGGUGGUUCCGCAUGGAAGGGCCAUCGCUCAACGGAUAAAAGCUACCCUGGGGAUAACAGGCUUAUCUCCCCCAAGAGUCCACAUCGACGGGGAGGUUUGGCACCUCGAUGUCGGCUCAUC
This 2530-nucleotide ribosomal RNA is filed under the name mouse gut metagenome. RNAcentral describes it as "bacterial LSU rRNA". It matches the Rfam family "Bacterial large subunit ribosomal RNA", at positions 3 to 2541 of the family's 2925-position model. The record is from RNAcentral.